AUUUUCUUAGAUAAUUUUAAAGAGUUUUAUUAGGAUUCAAUUACUCUUUAAAGAGUUUUUAUUAGGAUUCAAUUACUCUUGUAAUUUGCCUAUAAAUAGGCUUGUUUUCUACACAUUGAAAGAAGAAUAAAAAGAAGAGUAUUUGUUUUCUUUCAAAUUUGUGUGAGGCAAAUUUUUUUAGAGUAGAGUGAUUCUUCUCUUGCUAUUUAGUUUGGAGUUUGUUACUUUCGAGGGUAUUUCGGAGUUGCAAAUAUUCAAAUUUCUUUCCCGUUCAUCGGUGUUUCUAGAGGUUCUUCUUCUAGGGGUUUCGUAGGGAGCCGCUCAAUCAUUGGCGUUUUUGGUUACAAGUUAACCAAGGGUUCCAUAGGGCAAAUCUAUCCUUUUUAUUUAUUUAUUUAUUUAUUAUUUAACUAAUUUUAUUCUCGUUUUAUUUCUAAUUUGUGUUUCUCUUGUGUCUAGAUCCAGGUUUCCGCAUCAGCCGUAAACGAUGGAUACUAGGUGUUGUGCGUAUCGGCCCGUUCAGUGCUGUAGGUAAUGCGUUAAGUAUCUCACCUAGGGAGUACGUUCUCAAUAAUGAAACUCGAAGGAAUUGACGGGGGCUCGCACAAGUGGUGGAGCAUGUGGUUUAAUUGGAUGCGAAGCAAAGAACCUUACCAAGGCUUAACAUGUCCCGAAUCCUCUUAAAAGAGAGGGGUGCCUUCAAGAACGCGGACACGGGUGGUGCAUGGCUGUCGUCAGCUCGUGUCAUAAGGUGUUGGGUUAAGUCUCGCAAUGAGUGCAACCCUCGUGUUUAGUUUCCAACAUUGAGUUAGGAACCCUGAGCAGAUUGUCGGUGAUAAGCCAGAAGAAGGUGAGGAUGACGUAAAAUCAUCAUGCCCCUUAUGCCCUGGGUGACACACGUGCUACAGUGGACAGGACAAAGGGUCACGAUCCUGCGAGGGUGAGCUAACUCCAAAAACCUGUCCUCAGUUUAGAUUGCAAGCUGCAACUCAUCUGCAUGAAGCCAGAAUCGCUAGUAAUCGCCGGUCAGCCAUAUGGUGGUGAAUUUGCUCCCGGGCCUUGUACACACCGACCAUCACACUAUGGGAGCUGGCCAUACCCAAAGUUGUUACCUUAACCGUAAGAAGGGGAAGCCGAAGGCAGGGCUAGUGAUUGGAGUGAAGUCAUAACAAGGUAGCCAUACUGGAAGGUGCGGCUG
Molecule: ribosomal RNA, 1198 nt
Filed under: Gossypium barbadense (sea-island cotton)
Lineage: Eukaryota; Viridiplantae; Streptophyta; Magnoliopsida; Malvales; Malvaceae
Description: bacterial SSU rRNA
Rfam family: Bacterial small subunit ribosomal RNA (bases 404-1198)
Source: RNAcentral